RNAcentral lists this ribosomal RNA (245 nucleotides) under uncultured bacterium. RNAcentral describes it as "partial 16S ribosomal RNA". It matches the Rfam family "Bacterial small subunit ribosomal RNA", at positions 524 to 768 of the family's 1533-position model. The record is from RNAcentral.
UACGGAGGGUGCAAGCAUUGAUCGGAAUUACUGGGCGUAAAGGGCGCGUAGGCGGUUGAAGAAGUCAGAUGUGAAAUUCCGGGGCUCAACCCCGGAGCGGCAUUUGAAACUUUUCAACUAGAGUUCAGUUAGGGAAAACGGAAUUCCACGUGUAGCGGUGAAAUGCGUAGAUAUGUGGAAGAACACCGGUGGUGAAGACGGUUUUCUGGGCUGAUACAGACGCUGAGGCGCGAAAGCUAGGGGAG